CUCAAAACAAAAACAUUUGUGACUCUGCACUAUUCAGAAAUGAUGGCCAAAUUCAUUGUACUGACCAUUGUAGCAAUGCUGGUGGCAGCGUGUGCGGCUUCUCCUCUGUCUAAAGUCAAACCUGUGAACACAAAGAGGUCAGCAAUUUCCCCAGAGAGCUCACCCGAGGCUCAUGAGACCCCGCUGGCUCGAGUAAGGCGUUCAGUGGGGUUAUCGGAGGAUCAGCGCGAGCUCAUGUCCCGUCAGCUCCUGCAGGCACUAUCAGAAAUCAUCCAACGAGAGGACUGCCUCUCAGAUUAUCAAGGCUGGGUAGAUUUUGGGCGCCGGAGUUCAAACUGAUAUUCACUAAACUAUGUAAAAACACUGUACUGUGAUACUCUGUACUUUAACAUUAAAUAUAUUUGCAAG
Molecule: long non-coding RNA, 408 nt
Filed under: Danio rerio (zebrafish)
Lineage: Eukaryota; Metazoa; Chordata; Actinopteri; Cypriniformes; Danionidae
Description: lncRNA (ENSDARG00000117418.1)
Source: RNAcentral